GACAGAGGGUGCAAACGUUGUUCGGAUUUACUGGGCGUAAAGCGCGUGUAGGCGGCUUGGCAAGUCGGAUGUGAAAGCCCACGGCUCAACCGUGGAAGCGCAUCCGAAACUGCUUCGCUUGAGUCUCGGAGAGGAAGGUGGAAUGCUUGGUGUAGAGGUGAAAUUCGUAGAUAUCAAGCAGAACACCUGCGGCGAAGGCGGCCUUCUGGACGAUGACUGACGCUGAGACGCGAAGGCGUGGGGAGCAAACAGG
This 253-nucleotide ribosomal RNA is filed under the name uncultured bacterium. RNAcentral describes it as "partial 16S ribosomal RNA". It matches the Rfam family "Bacterial small subunit ribosomal RNA", at positions 524 to 776 of the family's 1533-position model. The record is from RNAcentral.